CCUACGGGUGGCAGCAGUGGGGAAUAUUGCGCAAUGGGCGAAAGCCUGACGCAGCGAAGCAGCGUGAGGGAUGAAGGUCUUCGGAUCGUAAACCUCUGUCAGCAGGGAAGAAAGGUCACUGUGCUAAUCAGCAGUGAAUUGACGGUACCUGCAAAGGACGGACCGGCUAACUCCGUGCCAGCAGCCGCGGUAAUACGGAGGGUGCGAGCGUUAAUCGGAAUUGCUGGGCGUAAGGCGCUCGUAGGCGGUAUGUCAAGUCAAGGGUGAAAUCCCCGCGCUCAACGUGGGAACUGCCGUUGAAACUGGCAAACUUGAGUGUGUGAGAGGAUAGUGGAAUUCCAGGUGUAGCAGUGAAAUCCGUAGAUAUCUGGAGGAACAUCAGUUGCGAAGGCGACUAUCUGGCACAUAACUGACGCUGAGGAUCGAAAGCGUGGGUAGCAAACAGGAUUAGAUACCCCUGUAGUC
This 465-nucleotide ribosomal RNA is filed under the name uncultured bacterium. RNAcentral describes it as "partial 16S ribosomal RNA". It matches the Rfam family "Bacterial small subunit ribosomal RNA", at positions 338 to 795 of the family's 1533-position model. The record is from RNAcentral.